This is an RNA transcript of Xyrauchen texanus (razorback sucker), 3338 nucleotides long. It is a transcript of the gene named brain-specific angiogenesis inhibitor 1-associated protein 2-like, with no coding region annotated. The record is from RefSeq and is a predicted model, not a curated record. NCBI's taxonomy places the organism in Eukaryota, Metazoa, Chordata, Actinopteri, Cypriniformes, Catostomidae. The transcript is spliced from 14 exons.
UCUAGUGGAUUGGAAGCGCAGAUAAUCACAGGCUCGGAGACACUGUUUGGAUAACCCACCACAUUAAGCAAAACACCGUUUAUGGUUUUAACUGAAGAUUUCACAAUGUCUCGCGCCGACGAGGUCCACCGCAUUACGGAAAACGCCUAUAAGACCAUCAUGGAACAGUUCAACCCCUGUUUGCGGAAUUUCAUUGCUAUGGGGAAGAACUACGAGAAGGCUCUCUCCAGUGUGACGUUUGCAGCGAAGGGUUAUUUUGAUGCUCUGGUGAGAAUGGGCGAGCUGGCCAGUGAAAGUCAAGGAUCGAAAGACUUGGGGGACGUGCUUUUCCAGAUGGCAGAGGUCCACCGGCAGAUUCAAGUACAGUUAGAGGAAAUGUUGAAAUGCUUCCACAGUGAGCUGAUGUCUGAGCUGGAGAAGAAGGUGGAUUUGGAUGCAAGAUACCUGACUGCAGCUCUCAAGAAGUACCAGAUUGAGCACAAAAGCAAAGGAGAGAGUCUGGAGAAAUGCCAAGGUGAGCUGAAGAAACUGCGGAGGAAGAGCCAGGGCAGCAAAAACCCCUCCAAGUAUGGCGAGAAGGAGUUGCAGUACGUUGAUACCAUUAGCAGUAAACAGAGCGAGCUAGAUACCUUCAUCGCAGAAGGCUACAAAACUGCGCUGUCAGAGGAACGUAGGAGAUACUGUUUCCUGGUGGACCGCCAGUGUGCCGUAGCCAAGAACAGCAGCGCCUACCAUGGCAAGGGGAAAGACCUGCUCACUCAGAAGAUCCCAGUAUGGCAGCAGGCCUGCUCAGACCCCAACAAGCUACCCGAGAGGGCGAUGAUGCUCGCCCAGCAGAUGAUCUCUGGUUCCAGCACCAUACUCUCCAGCCCUCUGCACUCUUCUAAGGGCAAUCUGGUCAUCUCAGAUCCCAUUCCUGGAGCUCAACCACUACCUGUGCCGCCGGAACUCGCUGCCUUUAUGGGGAGUGGCCUGGGACACCAGGGGAGGCUAAUGGGUCCUGAUGGCAUGUCUCUGGUGAACGGUACGACGGGGGUUCAUGGGGAUGAGUACUGGACAGAUGGUGGGGUCCCUCAGGGUAGACCGCCCUCCCCUCAGACUCAGACUCAAACACAGAGUCAGCCCCAGAGACAGGUCAGCGAUGUCUACUCCAACACACUACCUGUGCGCAGGGCCCAGCCCGCUAAGAACAAGACCAUUGUGGGAGAGACAAGAACUCUGCCCAGGUCAAGUUCCAUGGCGGCAGGUCUGGAGAAGAACGGACGCUCUCGAGUACAGGCCAUUUUUUCCCAUGCUGCUGGUGACAACGGCACCCUGCUCAGCUUCACUGAGGGUGACAUCAUCACCCUGCUGGUGCCUGAGGCUCGUGACGGCUGGCACUAUGGAGAGAACGAGAAAAACAAGAUGCGUGGCUGGUUUCCGUUUUCCUACACUCGAGUGCUGCCCGACAGUGAGAGCGAGAAGUUAAAAGUCAAUCUUCAUCAUGGGAAGAGCAGUAGCACAGGGAAUCUACUGGAGAGAGAGGACGUAUAUCUGCCUAUGUCCGAUUAUGGACUGACUGCCCGGCUCUUGGCACAGAGCCUUACACAGACUCGACCACGGCCAUACAGCAUGGCAGGCUUUGCACAGAAACGUGUUAUUGACUCAUCUAUAAACAUACGAGUUUGACGUCAUCCAUCUGAUUCAGCGACCAAUCCAAAAACCCCAAAUGCCAUGUCACAGAGCGAGUAACCUACAACCAUCUAACGCAACACUAACAGUCUUGUGAAUGCGGUGGAAAUGUAGCCAUGAAUAGCCUCGGUCUGAGGUGCAAACCCCUGGACUCUCUUUACCUUCCAGUUUGGGUCCUGAAUUGUCCCGGUUCUGAGUGUUGCAGGACCUCCUGACCGUUCCAUGGAGCUGCUCCUCAGACCAACCUUCAUGGAUGUCCGAUCUGCUCCUCUUUACUACUAGAGGGGCCCUUGCUGUGGCCUGUGCAUUGUACCGCCCUCUUCUGUUCUGUCUGUGUCAUUGCAACAGCAUGUGACGAGCAUAAGUGCUUUCCCACAUGAGGUCCAAUGAAGGGCAGUAAAUAUUGUGUGUUCUGUUUUGAAAGAUUAGAUUAAUGAUCUUAACUCUGUAACGUAAUAAUUAUCAGCAUUUGUAGUGAGGAAGUUGAAAAGGUAAUGACUGUUCUAAAUGGUUGGGUUGUUUUUGUGUAAACCAAUCUGGCUCAUCAAAAAAUGACAAUGUACAUUUAUUGGAGGAGAUUGAAGAUCUUAAAUGAAAUAAACAUAAGAAUAUGCCUGCUAUCUGACUGCUGAAAUGUGAGCAUUUAAAACUGGAAUGUAAAAUUUUUUACUUUUUUUUGUGUAUGUAAUCAUUUUUUUUAUUUUUACUAUAUAUAUUCAGUUUUAUAUCUUAAGACUUUUUAUCAGUUAAAAACAUUGUGACACAUGCCUCUGUAUCACCACUCAUUUCUGAAAGCUGUGCUCCAGAGACAAAAUGAAACCGCUUCCCAGGAGUCUUGAUAACCGUGGUCACUCCACAACAGUCUGCCAUUCUUUGAUUUAUUACUGCAUCCUCAAGGUCUAGUGAUUCAUAUGCACAUUCUCUGGUUAAAGAAAUCUGUACAGUAUAUUAGUUGUAACAUAGUGCAGUUUCACAUGCAAGCAUCACAGACUCUGGGCUUUUCCGGCUGUUUGGAUUGUGCUCAUUGCAAUUCUUUUCAGUGAUGUAACUAAGAGGAGUUGUGUGUUGGUGAUAUGUUACAUUGUUUGAUUGGUUUUGCACUAUUAUAUGCUUCUGCUGUCACUCGUGUCACUGUUGUUGUUUCUUAUGAAUUUCAUUGAUAUGAUGGUUUGUUUCUUUGUUUGCCCACUGCUUUUGCUCACAAGCAUUGCAAAUGUAAAUGUCUUUUGUUUCACAUACUGAAUAAUACAGCCUAGGUAUCACACAAUGCAUUUACUGCGCAAUAAUAAAAAUUUAUGAAUUGCAGGUUAUGUAAAUAUGCAUGUUUGUUUCUGCCUGAGGGACUGAAAAUUACAUUUCUAGAAUAGAAUCUUUAUCAUAAAAGCUCUUGUACAGAUAACAUUUAAUUCAAUAGAUUUCUUGCCACAGGGGACACACACAAAGUAGUUUAGAUGCUAAUAUGAACUGCAUGUUUUGUAAUGGAGCAUAAAUUGCUGUUUGUGUGGGGAAAGUUAGGUAUUUUGUGUCUGACCAGCUUUUAAAAAAAAAAAAACAUUUUAUGUUUUCUUGUUUUUUGGCUUUUCUAAUGUUCUGUUUGUUGUGGUCAGCUCCAAAUGUAUAUGCAUAUUCUUGUCUUUCAUGAAAUAAAAAAGCAAAUGAAAACAACA